Molecule: unclassified non-coding RNA, 227 nt
Filed under: uncultured fungus
Lineage: Eukaryota; Fungi
Description: sequence contains ITS1
Source: RNAcentral
GUAUAUAGAUGCGUUACAUCGCAAUACACAUUCUGAUACUGAAGCGUUUGUAGUAAGACGUAGGCACGGUUAACGCCUCGCCGCAAACGACGCGACGCCUUCCGAUACCCACAGUAAGUGCACAGGUGUAGAGUGGAUGAGCAGGGCGUGCACAUGCCUCCGGAGAGGCCAGCUACAACCCGUUUCAAAACUCGAUAAUGAUCCUUCCGCAGGUUCACCUACGGAAA